Molecule: ribosomal RNA, 489 nt
Filed under: uncultured bacterium
Lineage: Bacteria
Description: bacterial SSU rRNA
Rfam family: Bacterial small subunit ribosomal RNA
Source: RNAcentral
AUUGAACGCUGGCGGCAUGCCUAACACAUGCAAGUCGAACGGAAACGAUGGGAGCUUGCUCCCAGGCGUCGAGUGGCGGACGGGUGAGUAAUGCUUAGGAAUCUGCCCAGUAGUGGGGGACAACCAGGAGAAAUUCUGGCUAAUACCGCAUACGCACUACGGUGGAAAGUGGGGGACCUUCGGGCCUCACGCUAUUGGAUGAGCCUAAGUCGGAUUAGCUUGUUGGUAGGGUAAUGGCCUACCAAGGCGACGACGGGUAGCCGGCCUGAGAGGGCGACCGGCCACACUGGGACUGAGACACGGCCCAGACUCCUACGGGAGGCUGCAGUGGGGAAUAUUGGACAAUGGGCGCAAGCCUGAUCCAGCCAUGCCGCGUGGGUGAAGAAGGCCUUCGGGUCGUAAAGCCCUGUCAGGUGGGAAGAAUCGUUCCGGCACUAAUAAUGCCAGAGCCUGACGGUACCACCAGAGGAAGCACCGGCCAACUCCGUG